GAUGUGCUCAUUCUUGCAGGUGAUACACUGAUAUACACAGGAAGGUUGGGGGCCGUGGUGAGGGUCAGGCCAAGGGGCUGAGCCUUGAGCUGUCCGGUUUCUUCUUUCUUUGAGCAUGCCAGGCUUUCUGUGACCAGCUUUGCACAUGCAGCCUUCCUCAUUCUUUCCCAGCACACUAGGUUUUGGUACCCCAGGGGUUUCCUCAGCCCCUUGCACAAGCCACCAGCCAGACGUUCACCACCUAGCUGUGCUUUAGGCCCAGGUGGUUUUUUUUACACUGUUAUGUGUUCCUCAAGAGAAGGAACAGAAACACACUACAUCAAACAGAAAAAAUACAUAAUUUUAAUACAAAUAAUCUAUUUUUAAUUUUUUCAUGUUUUUAUGUAUUUGGGGCAUUAAUUCCUUAUCAAAUACAUCAGCUCAUAGACUACCCUUUCAUUCUCUUUAUUCCCUUUUACUAGGCAGAGUUUUUUUUCUGUUUGAUGUAGUCUGUUUCUGUUUUUGAUUAAGCUUGAAGUGUCCAGAGCCCAGAGUUGCAUCUGAAGGGUACUGGGGACUGCAGGGAAUAUGGCCAUGGUGACGCCUUGAUUUGGGGCCUUGGCCUCCAAAACUGUGCAAGUAUAAAUAAAUAUCUGUUGUUUUGAGCCCCAAGUCUGUGGUAGCUAGAACAGCAGUCCUUGGAAACAAGUACAGAUGGCCAGGUUCAGUCCAGGAGUGAGUCUGAGACAGGUAGGAAGUAGUUAGCCACAGGGGAAGGAGCAACUUGCCCAUGAGUUGGAGGAAUCCCAGCAUAGCAGAACUCGGAACAUCAGCAGAGGUUUCCCCCAGGAAAGCGGAGAAGCAGAGGGGAAGGGGCUUGGAACAGUUCCCCUCUUCCCCAUCUCCAGCCCCAGCAGUCACGGUCUACUCUCUGCUUCUAUGAGCUAGACUCAGAUACCUCAUAAGAGUGGAGUGAACCAUGCAGAUUUGUCCUGUGGCUGGCUUGUUUCACUAAAUGUCCUCCAAGUCCUUCCCUGUUGUCACCAGUGGCAAGAUUUCCUUUUCUAUAACUGGAAAGUGUUAGUAUGUUUUUACCAUGUUUUUAUCUGUUCGUCUGUUAGACAUUUAAGUUGCUUCUGUGUCUUGGCUGUUGUGACCAAUGCUGCACUGAACAUGGAAGUUCAGAUUCUUCUGAAAUCCUGAUUUCAUUCUUUUGGAUUUAUACCAAGAAGUGGGGUUGCUGGGUCCUGUGGGUUCUAUUUUUAAUUUUUUCAAGGAAAUGCCAUACUGUCUUUCAUAGCAGUUGCACCAUUUUAUGUUCCUACACAGUACACAGGGUUCCAAUUUCUCCACAACCUCACCAGUUCUUGCUAUUUCAUGGCUUAAUUUGUUUUAUGUAGUAGCCAGACUAAUGGAUUUUGAUAAGAAUUGCCCUGAUGAUUAGUGAUAUGUAUCUGUUGGCCAUUUGUAGGUCUUCUUCAGAAAAAGGUAUUCAAGUCCUUUGUCCAUCUUUUAAUUGGGUUUUUGUUUUUGUUAUUGGAGUUUUUAUGUAUUUGGGGCAUUAAUUCCUUAUCAAAUACGUCAGUUCAUAGAUUACCCUUUCAUUCUCUUUAUUCCCUUUUACUAGGCAGAGUUUUUUUUCUGUUUGAUGUAGUCUGUUUCUGUUUUUGCCUUUGUUGCCUAUGCUUUCUUUGAGUCUUAGCCAAGGAAUCACUGCCAUAUCUGAUGUCACAAAUGU
This 1717-nucleotide long non-coding RNA is filed under the name Marmota monax (woodchuck). Lineage: Eukaryota; Metazoa; Chordata; Mammalia; Rodentia; Sciuridae. The record is from RNAcentral.